This 390-nucleotide ribosomal RNA is filed under the name uncultured bacterium. RNAcentral's name for it is "bacterial SSU rRNA". It matches the Rfam family "Bacterial small subunit ribosomal RNA", at positions 355 to 742 of the family's 1533-position model. The record is from RNAcentral.
UGAGGAAUAUUGGUCAAUGGGGGCAACCCUGAACCAGCCAAGUCGCGUGAAGGCUGAAGGUCUUAUGGAUUGUAAACUUCUUUUACACGGGAAUAAAGUGGGGGACGUGUCCCCCUUUGCAUGUACCGUGUGAAUAAGGAUCGGCUAACUCCGUGCCAGCAGCCGCGGUAAUACGGAGGAUCCGAGCGUUAUCCGGAUUUACUGGGUGUAAAGCGCGUGUAGGCGGCGAGGUAAGUUGGAUGUGAAAGCUCCUGGCUUAACUGGGAGGUGUCGUUCAAGACUGCCUGGCUAGAGUGCAGCAGAGGGGAGUACAGUGCCGAGUGUAGCGGUAAAAUGCAUAGAUAUUCGGAAGAACACCAGUGGCGAAGGCGGCUCUCAGUGCUGCAACUG